Molecule: ribosomal RNA, 1346 nt
Filed under: uncultured bacterium
Lineage: Bacteria
Description: partial 16S ribosomal RNA
Rfam family: Bacterial small subunit ribosomal RNA
Source: RNAcentral
GACGAACGCUAGCGGCGUGCUUAACACAUGCAAGUCGAACGGAAAGGCCCUGCUUUUGUGGGGUGCUCGAGUGGCGAACGGGUGAGUAACACGUGAGUAACCUGCCCUUGACUUUGGGAUAACUUCAGGAAACUGGGGCUAAUACCGGAUAGGAGCUCCUGCUGCAUGGUGGGGGUUGGAAAGUUUCGGCGGUUGGGGAUGGACUCGCGGCUUAUCAGCUUGUUGGUGGGGUAGUGGCUUACCAAGGCUUUGACGGGUAGCCGGCCUGAGAGGGUGACCGGCCACAUUGGGACUGAGAUACGGCCCAGACUCCUACGGGAGGCAGCAGUGGGGAAUAUUGCACAAUGGGCGGAAGCCUGAUGCAGCGACGCCGCGUGCGGGAUGACGGCCUUCGGGUUGUAAACCGCUUUCGCCUGUGACGAAGCGUGAGUGACGGUAAUGGGUAAAGAAGCACCGGCUAACUACGUGCCAGCAGCCGCGGUGAUACGUAGGGUGCGAGCGUUGUCCGGAUUUAUUGGGCGUAAAGGGCUCGUAGGUGGUUGAUCGCGUCGGAAGUGUAAUCUUGGGGCUUAACCCUGAGCGUGCUUUCGAUACGGGUUGACUUGAGGAAGGUAGGGGAGAAUGGAAUUCCUGGUGGAGCGGUGGAAUGCGCAGAUAUCAGGAGGAACACCAGAGGCGAAGGCGGUUCUCUGGGCCUUUCCUGACGCUGAGGAGCGAAAGCGUGGGGAGCGAACAGGCUUAGAUACCCUGGUAGUCCACGCUGUAAACGGUGGGUACUAGGUGUGGGGUCCAUUCCACGGGUUCCGUGCCGUAGCUAACGCUUUAAGUACCCCGCCUGGGGAGUACGGCCGCAAGGCUAAAACUCAAAGGAAUUGACGGGGCCCCGCACAAGCGGCGGAGCAUGCGGAUUAAUUCGAUGCAACGCGUAGAACCUUACCUGGGUUUGACAUGGAUCGGGAGUGCUCAGAGAUGGGUGUGCCUCUUUUGGGGUCGGUUCACAGGUGGUGCAUGGCUGUCGUCAGCUCGUGUCGUGAGAUGUUGGGUUAAGUCCCGCAACGAGCGCAACCCUUGUUCACUGUUGCCAGCACGUUAUGGUGGGGACUCAGUGGAGACCGCCGGGGUCAACUCGGAGGAAGGUGGGGAUGACGUCAAGUCAUCAUGCCCCUUAUGUCCAGGGCUUCACGCAUGCUACAAUGGCUGGUACAGAGAGUGGCGAGCCUGUGAGGGUGAGCGAAUCUCGGAAAGCCGGUCUCAGUUCGGAUUGGGGUCUGCAACUCGACCUCAUGAAGUCGGAGUCGCUAGUAAUCGCAGAUCAGCAACGCUGCGGUGAAUACGUUCCCGGGGCU